AUUCUGUUUGGUGUUGUAGAGAAGUGUAUAUGUUUCUGGAAAUGCAGUAUUGUAGUUCGAAAAGUGACUCUUGGCGUAAUACACAUUCGUUGCGUCAUAGGAAGUUUCACUGGAUUGUUUCCUUUUUGUGCCAAGGUACUGUUUUUGUCUUUUGUAUUUUUCAGGAUUGUCUGUAUUCCUGAUUUGUGGCUGAUGUGUAAGUUUUGAGAUGCUAUGACCACACAGGAUGAAGGGUUUCGAGAAAUAAUCAAAUGACUUGAAGAGGAAACAAGUGAAUGGAUGGAAAAAUUUUACCAGCACAAAGAACGUGUCAAUAACUUUUUUGUUACGCUAGUGGGUGAGACGAUGAACUUUAUUUUUAUUUGUUUUUCGAAGCUGUUUUUAAAGCGCAAAUGAAAGUCGCACUGAAUGUUUAGUCUCCAGAUUAUGUGUUGUCGACGAAGUUUUAUGAACUUUCUGGUGAAUGAGACUAAAGGCUAGGACACUUGCCUCCCAAUGAGAUGACUAAAUUUCAAAUCCCAUCCACGGCUGAUUGAUAGCAGUUCUGCCAGCUUGCACAGAUCAAAGUGCUGGCGUAAAAUAUCCUCAGUGGUAGACGGAUCGCGACUUAGAAUCCACUACCGUCAAGCUAACCGUGGGCGGUUUUCCUCUCAUGUAACGCAAGUGCGGGUUAGUUUAAGCAAAGUCCUCCAGGAAGGCUAGAACUUAUAAAAAUUUUAAACUAUUAGAUCGCGUUAUUUCUCAUGUGUAUCAAUAAAGUUGUUAAAUAAUUCUUUAAGAAUUUGAGAAGUUUAGAUAUUAGUGAAACUCAGAAAUGGCUUUGUUCUUUUACGCUGGUUCUACCUUUUUACGGUCUUAUGAUAGGGAAAAUUUGUUGUAAAAUAUGUUUUUAUAGUUAGCUAUUUCAAGUUUUUCAAUUUAAAUUUUCAAGUGGUUGUAAAUAUUUUGCAUAUUGUAUUUAGAUAUAUUUAUUGUAUUAAAUUGUUCGGUAUACUAUUGUAAAAGUGGCAAUUUUGUAAGAUUGUUGUGGCAUGAAGCUUCAACUUCAUUUGCUUUGUAAAUUAGAUAGAAAUAAAUAUGUUAUGUAUGUUAA
This is a non-coding RNA of Parasteatoda tepidariorum (common house spider), 1093 nucleotides long. The record is from RefSeq and is a predicted model, not a curated record. Lineage: Eukaryota; Metazoa; Arthropoda; Arachnida; Araneae; Theridiidae.